AGAGUUUGAUCCUGGCUCAGGAUGAACGCUAGCGGCAGGCCUAAUACAUGCAAGUCGAACGAGAUUAAGAGGCUUGCUUCUUAUGAAAGUGGCGCACGGGUGCGUAACGCGUAUGCAACCUACCUUAAUCAGGGGGAUAGCCCGAAGAAAUUCGGAUUAAGACCGCAUAAAAACACAGGAUAGCAUUAUCCAAUGUUCAAAUAUUUAUAGGAUUAAGAUGGGCAUGCGUGUCAUUAGCUAGUUGGCGGGGUAACGGCCCACCAAGGCGACGAUGACUAGGGGAUCUGAGAGGAUGACCCCCCACACUGGUACUGAGACACGGACCAGACUCCUACGGGAGGCAGCAGUAAGGAAUAUUGGUCAAUGGAGGGAACUCUGAACCAGCCAUGCCGCGUGCAGGAAGACAGCCCUCUGGGUCGUAAACUGCUUUUAUUCGGGAAUAAACCUUUCUACGUGUAGGAAGCUGAAUGUACCGAAGGAAUAAGGAUCGGCUAACUCCGUGCCAGCAGCCGCGGUAAUACGGAGGAUCCAAGCGUUAUCCGGAUUUAUUGGGUUUAAAGGGUGCGUAGGCGGCUUAUUAAGUCAGGGGUGAAAGACGGUGGCUCAACCAUCGCAGUGCCCUUGAUACUGAUGAGCUUGAAUACACUAGAGGUAGGCGGAAUGUGACAAGUAGCGGUGAAAUGCAUAGAUAUGUCACAGAACACCGAUUGCGAAGGCAGCUUACUAUGGUGUUAUUGACGCUGAGGCACGAAAGCGUGGGGAUCAAACAGGAUUAGAUACCCUGGUAGUCCACGCCCUAAACGAUGAAUACUCGCUGUUAGCGAUAUACAGUUAGCGGCUAAGCGAAAGCGUUAAGUAUUCCACCUGGGGAGUACGCCCGCAAGGGUGAAACUCAAAGGAAUUGACGGGGGCCCGCACAAGCGGAGGAGCAUGUGGUUUAAUUCGAUGAUACGCGAGGAACCUUACCCGGGCUUGAAAGUUAGUGAAUGAUCUAGAGAUAGAUCAGUGAGCAAUCACACGAAACUAGGUGCUGCAUGGCUGUCGUCAGCUCGUGCCGUGAGGUGUUGGGUUAAGUCCCGCAACGAGCGCAACCCCUAUGUUUAGUUGCCAGCACGUUAAGGUGGGGACUCUAAACAGACUGCCUGUGCAAACAGAGAGGAAGGAGGGGACGACGUCAAGUCAUCAUGGCCCUUACGUCCGGGGCUACACACGUGCUACAAUGGAUGGUACAGAGGGCAGCAAGCUGGCAACAGCAAGCGAAUCUCAAAAAGCCAUUCACAGUUCGGAUAGAGGUCUGCAACUCGACCUCUUGAAGUUGGAUUCGCUAGUAAUCGCGUAUCAGCAAUGACGCGGUGAAUACGUUCCCGGGCCUUGUACACACCGCCCGUCAAGCCAUGGAAGUUGGGGGUACCUAAAGUAUGUAACCGUAAGGAGCGUCCUAGGGUAAAACCGAUAACUGGGGCUAAGUCGUAACAAGGUAGCCGU
RNAcentral lists this ribosomal RNA (1485 nucleotides) under uncultured Pedobacter sp. Its description in RNAcentral is "bacterial SSU rRNA". It matches the Rfam family "Bacterial small subunit ribosomal RNA". Lineage: Bacteria; Pseudomonadati; Bacteroidota; Sphingobacteriia; Sphingobacteriales; Sphingobacteriaceae. The record is from RNAcentral.